This 870-nucleotide ribosomal RNA is filed under the name Osmundea pinnatifida. RNAcentral's name for it is "eukaryotic LSU rRNA". It matches the Rfam family "Eukaryotic large subunit ribosomal RNA", at positions 259 to 1204 of the family's 3401-position model. Lineage: Eukaryota; Rhodophyta; Florideophyceae; Ceramiales; Rhodomelaceae. The record is from RNAcentral.
AAAGAGUCGGUUAGCUUGAGAAUGCUGACCUAAGAUAGGUGAUAAAUUUCAUCUAAGGCUAAAUACUGGUGGGAGACCGAUAGCAAACAAGUACCGUGAGGGAAAGUUUAAAAGCACUUUGAAAAGAGAGUGAAAAGAACCUGAAACCGUUACGUGGAAACCGCAUUGCAGCAGAGUGAAGGACCCGACCUGUUCAGCCUAGUUUUCUAGGUGUACUCAGGGCGGUGCUCCGCCAGCCGUGAGCUCCUGGUGGCCAAUUUUUGCGCUGCUAGGGGUGGAGGGCUCCCUUUCGAGGUUGAGGACGUGCUGGAUAAUGCUGCGAUUCGACCCGUCUUGAAACACGGACCAAGGAGUGUAGCAUAUCUGCGAGUCAAAGGGUUUUGAAACCUGAGGGCGCAGUGAAAGCGACUGUAAAACACGCAGUUUGCGGCGGCAUACGAUCUUUGAUCGUAGGUCCGACCUAGAGCAGGUAUGCUGCGACCCGAAAGAUGGUGAACUAUACUUGAGUAGGGUGAAGCCAGGAGAAAUUCUGGUGGAAGCUCGUAGCGGUGCUGACGUGCAAAUCGCUCGUCAAACUUGAGUAUAGGGGCGAAAGACUAAUCGAACCAUCUGGUAGCUGGUUUCCUCCGAAGUUUCUCUCAGGAUAGCGGACCAAACUAAUGUUGUUGUGCACGGUAAAGCGAAUGAUUAGCGUAUUUGGGGGAAUUUAUUCCUUCUGGCGAUUCUCAAACUUUAAAUGUGCACGGAAAUUGCUGCUCAACUGAGCAAUUUCGUUAAAAACAUUUGGUUCCGUGGGCCAUUUUUGGUAAGCAGAACUGGCGAUAUGGGAUGAACCAUAAGCGUGGUUAAGGCGCCAAAUUGCCCGCUUAU